RNAcentral lists this long non-coding RNA (1353 nucleotides) under Capsella rubella. Its description in RNAcentral is "long non-coding RNA (CRUB_LNC003643)". Lineage: Eukaryota; Viridiplantae; Streptophyta; Magnoliopsida; Brassicales; Brassicaceae. The record is from RNAcentral.
UUUUUUUAAUAUUUAUUUAUAAAAUUCGAAUAAACCCAAAUGGGCUGGGCCAGGCCUUACACGAUUGUGAUCCAUUAAGCAAAGAAAAUCGGAAAAAACUAACGGUGAAAAAAGAGAAUUCGGACCCUGUUGAUCGCCGGAGGCAGAGUGACCGGAGCCUGAGAUCCGGCGGGCUCAAGAAUCACAGCUUUGCGGCCACGACGAAGGAUCGAAAACCAUGGACGAAAGAGACCGGUUUCCAUCUUUGAUCCCUUUCCUCCGCCGCACCAGACCCACCACAAGUCUCCCGGAAAGCUAGUCACCCCGACAACACGGUUCCACGGUGGCAGAUCCCAACCUAGCAAUCCGCCACUCUCAGAUCUAACCUUCUCUUUCCUUCACCGCAGUUUACCGAGAUCCGAGCAAACUCUUCCUCGAUCUGGACGGAGAGAUACCAAACACGGCAGAAACAGAAAGCGGCGGCUCAAACCAAACCCUCUGCAACCAAUAACCCGCAUCAGCCAUCUAAGAUCAUACAUAUCUACCGCUAACUCCCACAUCAAAACGCGAAACCUUCCUAAGCCCCACCAACUUCCGCCGUUGUCCCAGCUCAUAGAAGAGGCGACUGAGCCAAGAAGAACUCUGAAGCAUCCCCGCCGUCUUCAAAAACGGGAACCACCGCUACAAAGAACUCCAAUCGCACCACCACAGCCACGACAACAUCGAAGGGGCUACCACACCACCGCAGACAGAGAAGAGGAGCUGCUCACCCAUGGAUCUCAAUCGAUUGACCUUGGCCAAAGAUGAAGCACUGAUCGGAAAAAAGGAAGGAAGAAGAAAACUCUAGAUCUAAAAUUUGCCCACAAGAGAGAGAGAAGCGCUAAUACCAAUGCAGCGAUUGUGCUUUUGUGUCAAUUGCGUAUUAUUUCCCUGUUUCUGUCUAAGAAAAAAGGUUGUAUAAUGAUAUAUAUGAGUAUUUUCUUUUUCAUCACUUAUAUACAAUGGAAAAGGUUUGAUCCGUUACUCUCUAUAGAAAAAAUAAAUUGGAAUUCUGAAUUAUCUUCAUUUUUAUGUAUAGAUUUCUAAACUAGCAAUAACUUACAGAUGAACAAUCUCUAAAAAAAAAGGAAAAAAGAAAAGAAACUACUCAUAAAUUAAAUAAUGUCGUACCAAUUCCCAUUUGUUUUUGUUUUCGUACGACGUAUCUUAAAUAUAAUGUCGAUAGGGGUUUUUUUUUUUUUUUUUUUGGGUAGAUGCAUGAACCUCUCUAAUAAAGCCUAGUUGGUGUAAUAAGAAUUUAAAGAGGGUCCCGCCAAUGUUUCGAAGAUUGCACAGAAUCUAAUUUGUUUGUUUUUUGAGAGAUUUGUCUAAAUU